RNAcentral lists this ribosomal RNA (268 nucleotides) under uncultured prokaryote. RNAcentral's name for it is "partial 16S ribosomal RNA". It matches the Rfam family "Bacterial small subunit ribosomal RNA", at positions 524 to 788 of the family's 1533-position model. The record is from RNAcentral.
UACGUAGGGUGCGAGCGUUGUCCGGAAUUACUGGGCGUAAAGAGCUCGUAGGUGGUUUGUCACGUCGUCUGUUGAAAUUUCGGGGCUCAACCCCGGAGACUGCUUUCGAAACUGGAGAACUAGAGUGUGGGAGAGGAAAGUGGAACUUUGAGUGUAGCGGUGAAAUGCGCAGAUAUCAGGAGGAACACCGAUGGCGAAGGCAGGUCUCUGGGCCACUACUGACGCUGAGAAGCGAAAGCAAUGGGGAGCGAACAGGAUUAGAUACCCU